Molecule: ribosomal RNA, 253 nt
Filed under: uncultured bacterium
Lineage: Bacteria
Description: partial 16S ribosomal RNA
Rfam family: Bacterial small subunit ribosomal RNA
Source: RNAcentral
UACGGGGGGGGCAAGCGUUGUUCGGAAUUACUGGGCGUAAAGGGCUCGUAGGCGGCCAACUAAGUCAGACGUGAAAUCCCUCGGCUUAACCGGGGAACUGCGUCUGAUACUGGAUGGCUUGAGGUUGGGAGAGGGAAGCGGAAUUCCCGGUGUAGUGGUGAAAUGCGUAGAUAUCGGGAGGAACACCAGUGGCGAAGGCGGCUUCCUGGCCUGUUCUUGACGCUGAGGCGCGAAAGCUAGGGUAGCAAACGGG